GACGAACGCUGGCGGCGUGCCUAAUACAUGCAAGUCGAACGCAGUGGGGACGGGUGAGUAACACGUGGGUAACCUCCCCAUCAGAGGGGAGAAAACUUGGAAACAGGUGCUAAACCGAUACUGAUGGAUGAACCCGCGGUGCAUUAACUAGUUGGUGCGGUAACGGCUCACCAAGGCCACGAUGCAUAGCCGACUUCAGAGGGUGAUCGGCCACACUGUGCCUGCGACACGGGCCAGACUCAUACGGGAGGCAGCCGUAGGGAAUCUUCGGCAAUGGACGAAAGUCUGACCGAGCAACGCGGCGUGAAUGAAGAAGGUUUUCGGGUCGUAAAACUCUGUUGUUAGAGAAGCGGUAUCUAACCAGUAAGUCACGGCUAACUACGUGCCAGCAGCCGCGGUAAUAC
This 404-nucleotide ribosomal RNA is filed under the name uncultured bacterium. RNAcentral's name for it is "partial 16S ribosomal RNA". It matches the Rfam family "Bacterial small subunit ribosomal RNA", at positions 28 to 526 of the family's 1533-position model. The record is from RNAcentral.